GACGAACGCUGGCGGCGUGCUUAACACAUGCAAGUCACGGGGGCUGGUGCAAGCCAGUAACCGGCGAACGGGUGCGUAACACGUGAGCGACCUGCCUUAUCGAGGGGGAUAGCCGGCCCAACGGCCGGGUAAUACCGCAUACGCUUGUUUGGGGGCAUCCCUGGACAAGGAAACCUCCGGGGCGAUGAGAGGGGCUCGCGGCCUAUCAGCUAGUUGGCGGGGUAACGGCCCACCAAGGCGAUGACGGGUAGCUGGUCUGAGAGGAUGGCCAGCCACAUUGGGACUGAGAGACGGCCCAGACUCCUACGGGAGGCAGCAGUGGGGAAUCUUGCGCAAUGGCCGAAAGGCUGACGCAGCGACGCCGCGUGGAGGAUGACGCCCUUCGGGGUGUAAAC
RNAcentral lists this ribosomal RNA (395 nucleotides) under uncultured bacterium. RNAcentral's name for it is "bacterial SSU rRNA". It matches the Rfam family "Bacterial small subunit ribosomal RNA", at positions 28 to 430 of the family's 1533-position model. The record is from RNAcentral.